Molecule: transfer RNA, 69 nt
Filed under: Gynaephora minora
Lineage: Eukaryota; Metazoa; Arthropoda; Insecta; Lepidoptera; Erebidae
Description: tRNA-Gln
Source: RNAcentral
UAUAUUUUAGUGUAUGAAGCACAAUAAUUUUUGAUGUAAUUAGGUAUAGUUUAAUUCUAUAAAAUAUAA